This 446-nucleotide ribosomal RNA is filed under the name uncultured prokaryote. RNAcentral's name for it is "bacterial SSU rRNA". It matches the Rfam family "Bacterial small subunit ribosomal RNA", at positions 355 to 796 of the family's 1533-position model. The record is from RNAcentral.
UCGAGAAUCUUCGGCAAUGGGCGCAAGCCUGACCGAGCGACGCCGCGUGCGGGAUGAAGGCCUUCGGGUUGUAAACCGCUGUCAGAGGGAAGGAAAUGCAGGUGGGUUCUCCCUCCUGUUUGACCGAUCCUCAGAGGAAGUACGGGCUAAGUUCGUGCCAGCAGCCGCGGUAACACGAACCGUACGAACGUUAUUCGGAAUCACUGGGCUUAAAGAGUACGUAGGCGGCACGGCAGGUUGGGUGUGAAAUCCCUCGGCUCAACCGAGGAACUGCGCUCAAAACCGCCGUGCUUGAGGGAGAUAGAGGUGAGCGGAACUGAUGGUGGAGCGGUGAAAUGCGUUGAUAUCAUCAGGAACACCGGUGGCGAAAGCGGCUCACUGGGUCUCUUCUGACGCUGAGGUACGAAAGCUAGGGGAGCGAACGGGAUUAGAUACCCCCGUAGUCC